GAUGAACGCUAGCUACAGGCUUAACACAUGCAAGUCGAGGGGAAACGACAUCGAAAGCUUGCUUUUGAUGGGCGUCGACCGGCGCACGGGUGAGUAACGCGUAUCCAACCUGCCCAUCACUUGGGAAUAACCUUGCGAAAGUAAGACUAAUACCCAAUGACAUCCCACGAAGACAUCUGAAUAGGAUUAAAGAUUCAUCGGUGAUGGAUGGGGAUGCGUCUGAUUAGCUUGUUGGCGGGGUAACGGCCCACCAAGGCAACGAUCAGUAGUGGUUCUGAGAGGAAGGUCCCCCACAUUGGAACUGAGACACGAUCCAAACUCCUACGGGAGGCAGCAGUGAGGAAUAUUGGUCAAUGGGCGAGAGCCUGAACCAGCCAAGUAGCGUGCAGGAUGACGGCCCUAUGGGUUGUAAACUGCUUUUAUAAGGGAAUAAAGUGGGUCUCGUGAGACUUUUUGCAUGUACCUUAUGAAUAAGGACCGGCUAAUUCCGUG
RNAcentral lists this ribosomal RNA (492 nucleotides) under uncultured bacterium. Its description in RNAcentral is "partial 16S ribosomal RNA". It matches the Rfam family "Bacterial small subunit ribosomal RNA", at positions 28 to 507 of the family's 1533-position model. The record is from RNAcentral.